UACGUAGGGUGCGAGCGUUAAUCGGAAUUACUGGGCGUAAAGCGUGCGCAGGCGGUUUGCUAAGACCGAUGUGAAAUCCCCGGGCUUAACCUGGGAACUGCAUUGGUGACUGGCAGGCUAGAGUAUGGCAGAGGGGGUAGAAGUUCCACGUGUAGCAGUGAAAUGCGUAGAGAUGUGGAGGAAUACCGAUGGCGAAGGCAGCCCCCUGGGCCAAUACUGACGCUACAUG
This 229-nucleotide ribosomal RNA is filed under the name uncultured bacterium. RNAcentral describes it as "partial 16S ribosomal RNA". It matches the Rfam family "Bacterial small subunit ribosomal RNA", at positions 524 to 751 of the family's 1533-position model. The record is from RNAcentral.